UAUGACUGAGUAGUAUUCCAUUGUGUACAUAUAUCACAUCUUCUUGAUCCAUUCCUCUGUUGAUGGACAUUUAGGUUGUUUUCAUGUCUUGGCUAUUAUGAAUAGUGCUGCAGUGAACAUAGGGGUGUAUGUAUCUUUUUGAAUGAAAGUUUUAUCUGGAUAUAUGCCCAGGAGUGGGAUUGCUGGGUCAUACAGUAGUUCUAUGUUUAGUUUUCUGAGAUAGCUCCAUACUGUUUUCCAUAGUGGUUGUACCAAUUUACAUUCCCUUUUCUCCACACCCUCUUCAGCCCUUGUUAUUUGUUGACUUGUUAAUGAUGGCCAUUCUGGUGUGAGGUGGUACCUCAUUGUAGUUUUGAUUUGCAUUUCUGUAAUAAUUAGUGAUGGUGAACAUUUUUUCGUGUGCCUAUUGGCCCUCUGUGUUUCUUCUUUGGAGAAAUGUCUAUUCAGGUCUUCUGCCCAUUAUUCAAUUGGGUUAUUUUUGUUGUUGUUGAGUUGUAUUAAGUUGUUUGUAUAUUUUAGAGAUUAAGCCCUUUUCAGUUGCAUCGUUUGAAACUAUUUUCUCCCGUUCCAAAGGUUGUCUUUUUUUUUUUUAUGGUUUCCUUUGCUAUGCAAAAGCUUUUAAGUUUGCUUAGGUCCCAUUGGUUUAUUUUUUUUCUGUUGUCUUUUGAGACUGACCUAAGAAAACAUUUGUAGGUUGAUGUCAGAGAAUGUUUUGCCUAUGUUCUCUUCUAGGAGUUUUAUGAUGUCUUGUCUUAUGUUUAAGUCUUUAAGCCAUUUUGAAUUUAUUUUUGUGCGUGGUGUGAGGGUGUGUUCCAGGUUCAUUGAUUUACAUGCAGCUGUCCAGUUUUCCCAGCACCACUUGCUGAAAAGACUUUUUUCCAUUUUAUAUUCUUCCUUUGUCAAAGAUUAAUGGACCUUAAGUGUCUACGUUAGUUCCAUGCCUUAUCUUAAAGGGACUUUUUAAUUUUAACGGUUAUUUGCAGCUGGAGUGUUUGUACUUCCAGGUUGCUUGGGCAUGCCAAAAACAAGUUGUAAGUUCAUUAUAAAAUAUUAAUGUGCAAGGAUUCUUGCUCAUAGAAUAAAGUUUUUUUCCUUUAAAAAUUUCAGUGGCCACUCAAUGGAGCUGUCUAAAAAAAAUCCAUGUGUUAAAAACAUCUCGUUCUUUUUUAUGAUCUCAACUCAUCUGUUUUGUAUCUGAGCUAGAUAUUCUUCAUGCUUCAUUUCCUAUUUUUUUCAUAUUGGUUGCUAUACAAUAAAGGAUUUGAUUAAAGUGCAGGAAAUAGUCAUUGCAUAUGUAUUGGUUUUUAAUCAAUUGAUGAAUAGACGUUGGUUAAAAUGUUUCUAAUUUUAUGAUCUCAUCCUAUGUCUAUGUACUGAUUUAAGCUGGUGCUUAAAAUUGUCAGUCUUCCAUCCAGCAUUCAUUAGGAACUGUGAAGUUUGUCUUCUAAGCUUUGAUUUUAUUUGCAGGGAAUUUCACCAAAGAAAAGUGAUCAUAUGUAUAAUAUAAGUAGUUUAUUUCCAUUUAGUUAUAUCUUUUGGUGGUAAGUUACUAUAGUGAUUGAGGCUUAUAUUUAAUCUUGUCAGAUUAUACAAACUGAAAUUUGUUUUAUGUAAACUAGAAACAAAAGAUUUGAUUAGUUUUGAGCUAACCAUUGCCAUAGCUAAUUUCGUAAACUUUUAUAUUGAAAAGCUUUCUGAGGAGUCCCUUGUGGCACAGUGGGUUAAGGAUUUGGCAUUGUCAAUAUAGUGCCUUGGGUUGCUGCUGCAGCACAGGUUUGAUCCCUGGUCCAGGAACUUCUACGUGCUGUGGGUGUGG
RNAcentral lists this long non-coding RNA (1816 nucleotides) under Sus scrofa (pig). Its description in RNAcentral is "lncRNA (ENSSSCG00025011309.1)". The record is from RNAcentral. Lineage: Eukaryota; Metazoa; Chordata; Mammalia; Artiodactyla; Suidae.